GCUGUCGGUUCGCCGCCUGUCGGUGUUAACUGGCAUGUUCUGUGGAACGUCCUGCCGGUGGUGGUCCGGGCUCUCGUUCUGCGUAAGGGUUUCCCGAAGCAGGGCGAAAAGUUCCGGCCGCCGGUUCAAUCCCGCCACGGUGCUCUUCACCGAGUGUCGAGGUGGGCCGGCACUUUUACUUUGAACAAAUUAGAGUGCUUAAAGCAGGCGGUUUCCGCCUGAAUACUGUGUGCAUGGAAUAAUAGAAUAGGACCUCGGUUCUAUUUUGUUGGUUUUCAGAACCCGAGGUAAUGAUUAAUAGGGACAGGCGGGGGCAUUCGUAUUGCGACGUUAGAGGUGAAAUUCUUGGAUCGUCGCAAGACGAACCUAAGCGAAAGCAUUUGCCAAGUAUGUUCUCGUUAAUCAAGAACGAAAGUUAGAGGUUCGAAGGCGAUCAGAUACCGCCCUAGUUCUAACCAUAAACGAUGCCAGCCAGCGAUCCGCCGAAGUUCCUCCGAUGACUCGGCGGGCAGCUUCCGGGAAACCAAAGCUUUUGGGUUCCGGGGGAAGUAUGGUUGCAAAGCUGAAACUUAAAGGAAUUGACGGAAGGGCACCACCAGGAGUGGAGCCUGCGGCUUAAUUUGACUCAACACGGGAAACCUCACCAGGCCCGGACACCGGAAGGAUUGACAGAUUGAGAGCUCUUUCUUGAUUCGGUGGGUGGUGGUGCAUGGCCGUUCUUAGUUGGUGGAGCGAUUUGUCUGGUUAAUUCCGAUAACGAACGAGACUCUAGCCUGCUAACUAGGCGAUUCCCGGUACCCACAAUAGUGUUACCGGCGAUUCAAUUUCUUCUUAGAGGGACAGGCGGCUUCUAGCCGCACGAGACUGAGCAAUAACAGGUCUGUAAUGCCCUUAGAUGUUCUGGGCCGCACGCGCGCUACACUGAAGGAAUCAGCGUGUCUUCCCUGGCCGACAGGCCCGGGUAACCCGUUGAACCUCCUUCGUGCUAGGGAUUGGGGCUUGCAAUUGUUCCCCAUGAACGAGGAAUUCCCAGUAAGCGCGAGUCAUAAGCUCGCGUUGAUUACGUCCCUGCCCUUUGUACACACCGCCCGUCGCUACUACCGAUUGAAUGAUUUAGUGAGGUCUUCGGACUGGUGCGCGGCUGUCGGAUCUCUGGCAGCCGAUGUUGCUGGGAAGAUGACCAAACUUGAUCAUUUAGAGGAAGUAAAAGU
Molecule: ribosomal RNA, 1211 nt
Filed under: Taihorina geisha
Lineage: Eukaryota; Metazoa; Arthropoda; Insecta; Hemiptera; Machaerotidae
Description: SSU rRNA
Rfam family: Eukaryotic small subunit ribosomal RNA
Source: RNAcentral